UGAUGCCACUUUUAUUCACAGCUGAUGUUCGUGAGUCGUGAUAUGGAUCCGUCUGAUGCAUGACGUUCAUUCUUGAUUUGCAAAGUAGCUUUCCCCAGAGCUAUUGUGACGGUAGCUUGUCUGUGGCAAAUUAGCAGCAUUUCAAAAACCUUCUUUUUAAAUAAUUGUGAAGUUACACGACCUACGCUGUCUGGCAUUUAAUGUUUAGAAAUAGGUUAUCAAUGAGGUUAUAUGUCUUUCUGAUUUUCAAAAAUGUCUUGUUGUGCCCAUUGUUUCCGACUCGUGUUGUUACUUUUGCACUUUAAACCCUUGCCACCAGACUGAUGUUUAUACAUGUAAUUGACCUGUACUAUAAACACUGGUUCAAAACUGACAAGUUAACUUUACUGCCAUAUAAGAGGAGACCGGGGCUGGUUGUCAUACUUACUGCGUGAAUAUUUCUAAGGGUAGCUUUAUUUUUUUAAAAUCAGUUGCUGCAUACAUGAAAGACUUGGCUUAAAAAAGAAAAGCUAUUUAACAUUUUCACCAUUAUUGGCCCGGAAAAAAGAUCCAACCCACUGAUCUCAUGCUAACUUUUUGUGACAAAUUGCCCCAAUGCUGGGCAAUGUUGGCACACUAUUUGGGGAAGUUGUCACAAUGCAACCUGUCAUUAAACCAGUAGUUUUUUUUUUUUUUUUUUUUUAAUAUUGGGGGAACCGUUUAACUGUCACCCCAACACCACAAUCACGAUUCCUUGCUGUACUCCCAGAUGUACUAUUCUUACACACCCACACACACUUGUUGAAGGAGAGUUGUUGUUUAUCCAGUGCUAAUGAAUGCUGAUGAAAGACCUGCCUUUUGACGCUGUUCACUCUGCAUGUCUUAAACAGGAAGUUGUGCAAUAUGUGCCCUCCUGUCCAAACAGAAAUUGUAUCGAGUUAUUUCUCUUCUGUAAUGUUAAUAGGUUUAAAUACCAAGUAAGCAAGAGAGGCUUUGUGUGCUUUAAAGGUGCUCGUUUCAGACUGAACGCACAAGUUAUAAGGCAUUCUAGCCACUCGCAGUUACUGAUAAAUGGUGUUAGUGGCUUAGGUGUGCACUACUUGAUGAAUCUGAAACUGCAUAUUGCUGAGUGGAAGUGAAGAUUUUUAAACUGCCUUUAAAGCUGGACUUUAACGAGACACUUAUGGUCAGUAUGAGGCUUCUGCGCCAUCAGAAAUUGCUGUCAAAGGUGUUGAGUUUGAGAGUGAAUGGAGACUGAUCUCUGUGGUGAUGGAUUGGAUCUCUAAGGUCUCUAAAAGACAUAUGGAAGAGCACUUGGUGCCUCUGGACCUUUAGGAGCAGCCUCUGUGCGAAUACUGGCGUGUUUCCUGAAUUGGCCAUUAUGCUGCAGAACGGACAUGAGAUUACGACCUCUGACCCUUAAUCACGAUCACAUGACGCUUUGUGCUGUAAUCCACGUCAGGGACCAUUUUGUGAAUCCUUCAUCUUUUAACCUUUUGCUGUGAACCUGACUCUGUAAAGACAACCAAGAGUGCUAAUCCUGAUUGUUCAGAUCACUGUGGCUACAGGGCAAGCCCUUCCAACAGAACUUUCCCUGUCACAAAUGACAUCUCUCUGUUUAGAUUCAUUUUAUUGAUGGCUGUUUUGAUCACGGCCAGCCCUUUUCAUAAUUGCAAAUGUAGCUUUUGCUUUUGACACAAUUCAAUUUCAGUCAUGUUCAUCGGCUGUUUUCUGUUUUGUUUUUCCUGUGAUGGUUAAAAUCCCAGUUUCAAUCCUUAAGCCCAGCUAUCUGUUCAGUUGUCUAUGUAAAUAUGUUUAUUUGCUUUUAUUUAUGUUGACUGUUAAAAUCAAUCUGUUGGAUUGGUUGAGCUAUAAAUAAGGUAUAUGAAUGCACUUCAUCCGGUGGAGUGCGUUGAAAUAUUGUGACUUCUUACAAGUCAGAAUUUAAUAAACGUUCUAUGAUGUU
Molecule: long non-coding RNA, 1945 nt
Organism: Myxocyprinus asiaticus (Chinese sucker)
Lineage: Eukaryota; Metazoa; Chordata; Actinopteri; Cypriniformes; Catostomidae
Exons: 2
Source: RefSeq, a predicted model, not a curated record